RNAcentral lists this unclassified non-coding RNA (376 nucleotides) under uncultured Alphaproteobacteria bacterium. RNAcentral's name for it is "contains 16S-23S intergenic spacer region". The record is from RNAcentral. Lineage: Bacteria; Pseudomonadati; Pseudomonadota; Alphaproteobacteria.
UCCGGUUUGUCACCGGCAGUCUCAUUAGAGUGCCCAACUUAAUGUAGCAACUAGUGACAAGGGUUGCGCUCGUUGCGGGACUUAACCCAACAUCUCACGGCACGAGCUGACGACAGCCAUGCAGCACCUGUGUCCAGGCCCCGUAAGGGGAGGAAUCCAUCUCUGGAAACCGUCCUGGCAUGUCAAACGCUGGUAAGGUUCUGCGCGUUGCUUCGAAUUAAACCACAUGCUCCACCGCUUGUGCGGGCCCCCGUCAAUUCCUUUAAGUUUUAAUCUUGCGACCGUACUCCCCAGGCGGGGUGCUUAAUGCGUUAGCUGCGCCACCAACGAGCAAGCUCGCUGACGGCUAGCACCCAUAGUUUACGGCGUGGACUAC